Molecule: long non-coding RNA, 266 nt
Organism: Serinus canaria (Common canary)
Lineage: Eukaryota; Metazoa; Chordata; Aves; Passeriformes; Fringillidae
Exons: 2
Source: RefSeq, a predicted model, not a curated record
UCUCUGCUGCUGGACCAGCCAAAGGAAGGCAUGCCGAACUUGGGCCUCUUGAAUUUGCCAUCCUUGGUCUUGGCAGCCUCCUUCUCUGGGACUUUGGCCUCCCCUUCAAGGCUCAUGGUGGCCUCAGGCGCCUGCAGGUCGACGCUAGCCUGUGGAAGAGUGACGUCGACGGAGGGCAGACUGAUGUCCACCUCUGGAGCUUUGAUAUUUGGUGGUGUCAUUUCUAAAAGUUCAUCUUUCGAUUUUUCAUUGAACUCCAUUUUCUC